RNAcentral lists this ribosomal RNA (253 nucleotides) under uncultured bacterium. RNAcentral describes it as "partial 16S ribosomal RNA". It matches the Rfam family "Bacterial small subunit ribosomal RNA", at positions 99 to 353 of the family's 1533-position model. The record is from RNAcentral.
CGGACGGGUGAGUAAUGUCUGGGAAACUGCCUGAUGGAGGGGGAUAACUACUGGAAACGGUAGCUAAUACCGCAUAACGUCGCAAGACCAAANAGGGGGACCUUCGGGCCUCUUGCCAUCAGAUGUGCCCAGAUGGGAUUAGCUAGUAGGUGGGGUAACGGCUCACCUAGGCGACGAUCCCUAGCUGGUCUGAGAGGAUGACCAGCCACACUGGAACUGAGACACGGUCCAGACUCCUACGGGAGGCAGCAUG